AAUGAACGCUGGCGGCGUGCUUUACACAUGCAAGUCGAGCGAGGCACCCCGCAAGGGGUAGUCGAGCGGCGAACGGGUGAGUAACGCGUGGAUAACCUGCCCUUGAAUGGGGAAUAACCCGGGGAAACUCGGGCUAAUACCGCAUACGACCGAGAGGUGAAAGGGGGCUCGCAAGGGCUCUCGUUCGAGGAGGGGUCCGCGUUCGAUUAGCUAGUUGGUAGGGUAAUGG
Molecule: ribosomal RNA, 229 nt
Filed under: uncultured bacterium
Lineage: Bacteria
Description: partial 16S ribosomal RNA
Rfam family: Bacterial small subunit ribosomal RNA
Source: RNAcentral